AUAAAGUUUCACUAAAGAGAAAAUAAAAUUCCACCAGGCAGAUCUGGAUGAAGAAAGGCAGAAGCCUUUCUUUACAACUCAGUGGAACCACUUGCAACAGUUUAUUCAACUGCUCCUGAUCAUUUAAGAGCUGCUUCAGAGAAGGAGCUGUGCUGUUAAAAGAGUUUAGAGCCUGUUUUUUGCUUGACCAGGAUCCUGUGAAAAUAUGGGGACAGUAGAGAAGGUGUUUUGCAGAAUUUUGCUGCUUCUUUUACUACAGUGUGAAAUAGGUUGGAUGCAAGAAGCAGUAAAUUCUCCAGCUUUUAUAGAAAGUACUUGCCUCUCCAGCAUAUUUUGGGUGAAGCUAGACAAGUCCUUUCUUCAGAAGAAGUUUUUCAAGAUCGAAGUAAUUGGUGAGCUAUCUGAGAUAUUAGAAUAUUGCUUAUACUUGCAACUUGAGCAAGAACUU
This 448-nucleotide long non-coding RNA is filed under the name Notechis scutatus (mainland tiger snake). RNAcentral describes it as "lncRNA (ENSNSUG00000003746.1)". The record is from RNAcentral. Lineage: Eukaryota; Metazoa; Chordata; Lepidosauria; Squamata; Elapidae.